GAUGAAUGCUAGCGACAGGCUUAACACAUGCAAGUCGAGGGGCAGCAUAGAAGUAGCAAUACUUUGGUGGCGACCGGCGCACGGGUGAGUAACGCGUAUGCAACCUACCUAUCAGAGAGGAAUAACCAGGCGAAAGUCGGACUAAUACCGCAUAAAACAGGGGCACCGCAUGGUGAUAUUUGUUAAAGAAUUUCGAUGAUAGAUGGGCAUGCGUUCCAUUAGGUAGUUGGUGAGGUAACGGCUCACCAAGCCGACGAUGGAUAGGGGAACUGAGAGGUUGGUCCCCCACACUGGUACUGAGACACGGACCAGACUCCUACGGGAGGCAGCAGUGAGGAAUAUUGGUCAAUGGGCGGGAGCCUGAACCAGCCAAGUCGCGUGAAGGAAGAAGGAUCUAUGGUUCGUAAACUUCUUUUGCAGGGGAAUAAAGUGCGGGACGUGUCCUGUUUUGUAUGUACCCUGAGAAUAAGGAUCGGCUAACUCCGUGCCAGCCGCCGCGGUAA
This 503-nucleotide ribosomal RNA is filed under the name uncultured bacterium. RNAcentral's name for it is "partial 16S ribosomal RNA". It matches the Rfam family "Bacterial small subunit ribosomal RNA", at positions 28 to 523 of the family's 1533-position model. The record is from RNAcentral.